GGAGAAGAAGCUGAAAGGACUGGAGAACAGCUGUCAUGUUUUGAAAUACGGCAUCGACGAAUGCAGCAGCAGCAGCAACAACAAUUUGCACAAUUCGCCGUCGUCGAUCCUCGAUGGCGGCGAAGGCGGCGGCGGAGACGGAAACAAGCUAAUUGUGGAUCAGUUCCUCGUCGCGGUAUCCGAAUCGAGGUCCUCGAUCAAAAUCCUGAGCCGUUCUUUGACAGUACAGCUCAAACAAUUGAACGCC
This 247-nucleotide long non-coding RNA is filed under the name Linum usitatissimum (flax). RNAcentral describes it as "long non-coding RNA (LUSI_LNC000521)". The record is from RNAcentral. Lineage: Eukaryota; Viridiplantae; Streptophyta; Magnoliopsida; Malpighiales; Linaceae.